Molecule: long non-coding RNA, 269 nt
Organism: Prionailurus viverrinus (fishing cat)
Lineage: Eukaryota; Metazoa; Chordata; Mammalia; Carnivora; Felidae
Exons: 2
Source: RefSeq, a predicted model, not a curated record
AGGAGGUAGAAAGCGAUGGAUGGGGUAUGGGACAGAGGUGAGAAGGAGACAACAACACAAUGGACGGAUCGGGCAGGCGAAGGACAGGUUGUCAGUUCCAUGAGGAUGAAGCCAUUGUUUUCCCAGGGCCCGGUGCUAGCCCCGGACACAGCAAGUGCUUGAAUAUGUAUUGAAUGUGUGAAGUGGGAAGACAAGCUUAAAUCCUCGGUUGGGCAUGUGAACCUCUCCGGGCCUCAUUUUCUUCUGUUUAUAAAACAUUGAAGAUAAUA